GUUCAAGAAUGAUAGUGGCUUAGACGUGGACCCUGAAAAAGAAGUUACUGUGACCUCCGGGUGCACCGAAGCAAUAGCUGCUACCAUUCUCGGCUUGAUCAAUCCUGGUGACGAAGUAAUACUUUUUGCGCCAUUUUAUGAUUCCUACGAAGCGACUCUCUCAAUGGCUGGUGCCAAAAUCAAGUCAGUAACUCUCCGCCCUCCGAAUUUCUCCGUCCCGCUCGAUGAGCUCAAGUCAGCAUUCUCAAAGGACACCCGUG
RNAcentral lists this unclassified non-coding RNA (260 nucleotides) under Hevea brasiliensis (rubber tree). The record is from RNAcentral. Lineage: Eukaryota; Viridiplantae; Streptophyta; Magnoliopsida; Malpighiales; Euphorbiaceae.